UGGGACAGUGCGCAGGACGAAAGCCAUCUGGUAGCUUUGCUUGCAAGACCAGAUUAAGAAAGCACCAGCACAAAAACCACAAAGGAGAAGAUGAAGCUGUAUUUCCGGAGGAAAGCAAAGAUUUCUACCCAAAGCUGAGUGCAGGUCUGCUGGUGUCACUAGAGAGGAAGGAGACCGCAAGAAGACAGCGGCCGGGGGGAUCUAGGAGAUGGAAAGGGUCCUGAAAAAUUCUAAUCUGGAUAAUCUCUGGAUACUGGACAAUGAAGCCCAGGUGUGCUCUAAAAAAAUGGAGCAAAAUUUGGUCCAACUCAUGCCAAUUGUGUUCAACAGUUUAUAGGAUAAGUAGAUCCUUUCAGGCUGUCAUAGUUCAAGCUCUUGGAAUGACCAGUAAUAUAUACUUAAACAUAUGACAAAACUUAAGGGAAAAGAGGGCCCAAGGCAUGCAGGGGAACUGAGCAUAAAGGCCAUUGUAUUUCAUGUAUGACUUGACUGUGUUUCAGUAAAGCAAUUUUAGCUCUAAAC
Molecule: long non-coding RNA, 522 nt
Filed under: Homo sapiens (human)
Lineage: Eukaryota; Metazoa; Chordata; Mammalia; Primates; Hominidae
Description: HSALNT0246739
Source: RNAcentral